RNA transcript from Trichogramma pretiosum, 3374 nucleotides. It is a transcript of the gene named ecotropic viral integration site 5 ortholog, with no coding region annotated. The transcript has 9 exons. The record is from RefSeq and is a predicted model, not a curated record. Lineage: Eukaryota; Metazoa; Arthropoda; Insecta; Hymenoptera; Trichogrammatidae.
CGCCGUCGUUGGCUGCAGUCGGAGUCGGAACGCGAAGAAGAAGACGACGACUCGAGUUUCAUCGCUGCACAUUGUCGAGAGAGUCUCUGACAGUCAGUCGGUGUAUUAUAGUAUACAAUACAUAUAUAGACACAGAGGCCCCGCACAGUUUUUCUUCGGUCGCCGCGAGUUCGUCGCAGCUGCGAUUAUUAUCAUCGUAUCGCAGUGAGAGAGAGAGGCCAACGUGUGUCGUGUGGGUGCUGCUGCCUCUUCUUUUUUGUGCGUUCAAGUGUUUGUGUUGUUAUUGUUGUUGUUAUUUUAUGUAUACAAGUGUGUCACGCACGAAUAAAUGUUAAUUAAUUAAACCGAGAGAGGAUCGUGUGCGUCGUCGUUGCAGUUUCGCGUUGUGUGCUUCGUGUGCGUUUGUUGUAUACCGAAAAAAAGUCGCGCUGCGCGACUGUCUCUCUCUAUCUCUGCCUGUGCACAGCAUCCGAGAGAGAGAGAGAGAAAGGGUUGAAUAACAUCCGCAGAGCUCUCGACGACAGAAAAAAAAACCAGACGCUGAGGUAUUUUUUAUACACGUCAACGUCGGGGGGCGGCGGCGGCGUUGCAGGAGGGUGUGUGGGCACGCGAAUGAUCACAAGGAGCAGUGAUAUUAUGGAUCAAAGGCCGCGAUUAUGAGCGUCGUAUGCUUGAAAUCCGCGUCGGUCUGCGAAGAGAGCAUACCGAGGGUGAACGGGGCGGCUGCCGACGGUACCGAAGAUCAGCAGAGCGCCAGCAGCAGUGGCAACAGCAGCGCGUCGAGCUCGCUGUCGUCGACCUCGUCCUCGGAAGAGUCGUCCGCCUCCUUGGACACGGCACAGAAAACAACAACAAGCACAGGAGCUACUACGAUAGCGACUCCGACGGCAGCCAAAGACGUGUCCAACGACGAGCUGGCACUGUUGGCCAAGCUCGAGGAGGCCAAUCGGCUGAUCGAGUCGGACGCCAAGUCGCUCAACUCGCUGCAGAGCAAUCACAGCCGCAAGGGCUCGGACACGUCGCAGGUGUCGCUGGCCUCGGGCUGCAGCGUAACCACCACGACCAACAACAAUAAUGCGGCGGCAGCAACGUCGAACGGCAAUAAUGCUGUCAACAGCAGCAGCAACAACAACAACAACACAACGACGGGGCCCGCCGGUGGGGGCAGCGACGGCGAGGAGAACACGUGGUCCCUGUGGGGCAAGAUCAUCGCCGACUGGGACAAUCAGUGGAAGAAGAGGAAGGACUUCGUGAAGGAUCUCAUCAGGCAGGGCAUACCGCAUCAUUUCAGGAGCAUAGUAUGGCAGCUGCUGUGCGGCGCGCACGAGUCCGAGGCCAAGCGCAAGUUCGCCGACUACAUGAAGCGCACCUCGUGCUUCGAGCGCAUCAUCAGACGCGACAUCGCGCGCACCUACCCUGAGCACGACUUCUUCAAGGAGAAGGACGGCCUCGGCCAGGAGAGCCUGUUCAACGUCAUGAAGGCCUACAGCCUGUACGAUCUCGAGGUGGGCUACUGCCAGGGCUCGGGCUUCAUCGUUGGCCUGCUGCUCAUGCAGCAGAUGCCCGAGGAGGAGGCGUUCGCCGUACUCGUGGCCCUCAUGCAGGAUUACCGGCUCCGUGACAUGUUCAAGCCGAGCAUGGCCGAGCUCGGCGUGUGCAUGUAUCAGCUCGAGCAUCUGGUGUCGGACACGCACCCGGAGCUGUUCGCCCACUUCGCCGUGCAGGGCUUCCACACGUCGAUGUACGCGUCGAGCUGGUUCCUCACGCUCUUCACGACGGCGCUGAGUCUGCCGCUGGCCUGUCGCAUCUUCGACGUGUUCCUCUCCGAGGGCAUGGAGAUCAUAUUCAAGGUGGCCCUGGCCAUGCUGCAGCUCGGCAAAGACGAUCUCGUUAGUCUGGACAUGGAGGGCAUGCUCAAGUUCUUCCAGAAGGAGCUGCCGGGCCGCGCGGAAUCCGAUCCGAAUCGCCUGAUGAGCAUCGCCUACAGCAUGAAGAUCAAUCAGAAGCGAAUGAAAAAGCUCGAGAAAGAUUACACGGUGCUGAAGAUGAAAGAGCAGGAGGAGAUGGUGGAGCUGCGCAGAUUGCGGACGGAGAACAGAAUGCUGCGCCAGCGUACGGAGCUGCUCGAGGCCGAGUCCGCCGAACUAGCGGAAAAACUGGUGCGCGGCCAGGUGUCGCGCGCCGAGGAGGAGGAGAUAGCGUUCGUGGCGCAGCGCGAGCUCACGGCGCUGCGUCACGUGCACCUCGAGACGCUGCACGGCAAGGAGGAGCUGCUCCACCAGAAGGAGGAGCUGAUACAGUGCCUGCAGGACGAGCUCGUGCGCGUGCGACUGCACGAGGCCGAGAACGACGCGCAGAUCUACGAUCUGCGCGAGCGCAUCAGGGAGCUCGAGCAGGACAAGAAGCAGCUGAGGGAGUGCACGCCCGACAACUCGGUGGCCCAUCUGCAGGAGGAGCUGAUCGCGGUGAAGCUUAGGGAGGCCGAGGCCAAUCUGUCGCUCAAGGACGUGCGCCAGCGCGUGAGCGAGCUCAGCGCCAGCUGGCAGAAGCAUCUGCAGGAGCACAGGGCGGCGCACGCCGCGCAGCCCGCCGACUCGACCCCCAAGAAGCUGCUGUUCUGGGAGAGUCGUGGCCAGGAGGUGCAGAAGCUCGAGGAGGACCUGAUGACGACGCGCUUCCACGAGAUGGAGGCCCUGACGGAGGCCAAGGAGCUCAGGCUCAAGGUCAUGGAGCUGGAGACGCAGGUGCAGGUGUCGACGAAUCAGCUGCGCCGCCAGGACGAGCACGCCAAGGUACUUAGGGACGAGCUGGAGCAGGCGCUGGCCCGACAGAAGGAGCUCGAGACGCGGCUGCGCGAGCAGCAGGACAAGUACUGCGACCUCGAGAGCAAGAUGAAGGACGACACGAUGAUGGCGAGGAUCAGGGACGCCGAGCACGCGCAACAGGUCGCCGAGCUCAAGCAGCAGAUAUCGGUGCUCGAGCUCAAGAACGAGGAGAUGCACGCCGAGGGCGAGCUGCGCAACAACAUGGACGAGAGCGACCGGGUGCGCGAGCUGCAGGACAAGGUGGCGGAGCUCAAAGCCGAAACUCGUAAUUAUCAUAUCGUUCGUACGAAUUGGAUUCGUGCACGUGCAUAAAAAAACACGUUCGGGUGAGAAAAAAAUACACGUGUAGAAUUUGCUUUUAGUUAUUGCCAAGCGAUAUUGCGUCGAGCCGCACGGAGAAAAUAAAAAAAGAAAUCCGAAGUUCACAAGAACGUAUGAUAAACAGUGAUCGAUUCUUUUUGUAAGGUGUUGAGACUGGAGAGCCUGCGCGAGCACUGGGCCAAGCACGGCGACGUCAAGAGCAAGGACGCGGUGAGCCGCAGCUGCAGC